CCGUGAAUAUUUUCUCUGUCCUAAUUUUAUAAUAAUCAGAGGGCACCAAACUCCAUUCAACUUAUGAAGACAAUGCAGAUACAUUCCGUUCUAGCUCUAUUCCUAAAGCUGUUUUGGUAAAUGCUGGUGAUACAC
Molecule: small nucleolar RNA, 135 nt
Organism: Echinops telfairi (small Madagascar hedgehog)
Lineage: Eukaryota; Metazoa; Chordata; Mammalia; Afrosoricida; Tenrecidae
Gene: SNORA72
Rfam family: Small nucleolar RNA SNORA72
About the family: U72 is a member of the H/ACA class of snoRNAs. The snoRNA gene is located in intron 4 of the ribosomal L30 protein gene in human, mouse and chicken.
Source: Ensembl